GUGCUCGCUUCAGCAGCACAUACACUAAAAUUGGAACCAUACAGAGAAAAUUAACAUGGCCCCUGCGCAAGGAUGACACACAAAUUCGUGAAGAGUCCCAUUUUUUA
Molecule: small nuclear RNA, 107 nt
Filed under: Octodon degus (degu)
Lineage: Eukaryota; Metazoa; Chordata; Mammalia; Rodentia; Octodontidae
Source: RNAcentral